This 486-nucleotide ribosomal RNA is filed under the name uncultured bacterium. RNAcentral describes it as "bacterial SSU rRNA". It matches the Rfam family "Bacterial small subunit ribosomal RNA", at positions 30 to 504 of the family's 1533-position model. The record is from RNAcentral.
CGAACGCUGGCGGCGCGUUUUAAGCAUGCAAGUCGAACGGUAGUAGGGUGCUUGCACCCUAUGAGAGUGGCGAACGGGUGAGUAACACGUAGGUGAUCUGCCCUUGAGUUGGGGAUAGCCCAUGGAAACAUGGGGUAAUACCGAAUACGGUCCGGGAACUGUAGUACCCGGAAGAAAAGCGCUUCGGCGCUGCUCGAGGAUGAGCCUGCGGCUGAUUAGCUAGUUGGUGAGGUAAUGGCUCACCAAGGCGACGAUCAGUAGCCGGCCUGAGAGGGUGAACGGCCACACUGGGACUGAGAUACGGCCCAGACUCCUACGGGAGGCAGCAGCUAAGAAUCUUCCGCAAUGGACGAAAGUCUGACGGAGCGACGCCGCGUGGGUGAUGAAGGCCGGAAGGUUGUAAAGCCCUUUUCUGAUUGAGGAAUAAGCACAGGAGGCAAUGCCUGUGUGAUGACGGUAGGUCAGGAAUAAGCCCCGGCCAAUUAC